AAAACACCUGAUGCUCCCGGCACUGUCGAGUGAAACAGAUGGGCUUUUUCCAUUCAGACGCUGCCCCAUCCCCCAGCCAGUUUGCAUCCUGGCUCACUGUGGAGAGUGAAGGGAACUGGUUUUAAAUAGGACCAAAGGAACUCCACUCCAAGGAACUCUAAGGACUAGCCACUGGAAAAAGACAGCUUUAUGUCUGCACACAAGACGAGAGCCUCAGCCUUACGUGAGAUGGCUGGAGCAACAGCAGCAAAGGACAAGGAGAAAGUGUGCAGCAGCGUCAGUUUUACAGGUGUGACACCAUGAAGUUGUCCCACAUUUUCCACUGGCUGAAUUUGGGAACAUGGUCGACUGUGAGAUUUUGAAAACUGAUUUUCAUCCGUUUCUGCUUUAUCCUCAUUGCUUUGCCCACUGGGAGGUGCUAAAGAGCUACAUGUUGGAGGCACGUCCGGGCCAUCUUCCCAGAGUUUCCGAGGAUUUGGUUGUGUUCUGAAGCUGCUUGUGGAGCUGUCUGUCUGUCGCUCUCUCCCACUGAAUCUCGUAGUCUCGGUUCUGGAUGCGCAUCUGAAUUCCUCUGCCAGCACGCCUGCUGCUGCGUCUGGAUUGCCAGCUCCAUCUCCAGCAUCAUAAUCUGAAAACCCCCAGACCAGACAAUCAGGCAUCUUGCAUGUAAAUAACUCAGAACUUUAAUUAGUAGGACAAAGUUAUGAAAUAAGUCUUCUACGGAUUUUGAUGCUUCAUGGAAACACAGGCCUGCUCUAGACCCCUGGUGCCUUUCCACACUUGCCCCCUGCUGGGCUUGCUCCUGGUGAACUCCACACCCAGGCCAGUUGAAAAAUUCUCCCCAAAACAAGACACCCGAACCAGCAAAUAACAUAGAUCCUCACAUGGAACUAAAGCAGACACUAAGUUGGCUACAGACUGCUGCAACCAUGAGUCACCAGAGGUUUUUAAAAUUCCUGCUGCCCAGGUCACCACGUUUGGGGAGGAAGCAAGCAUCUUACUUUUUAAAGACCGCAAUGAAGAGCAGAGAUGGGCACUCCAGAGCACACUGAUUCUUCACAACAGAGAGUUUCCUGCUUUUAAAGUUGUAUAAUGAACAAAGUAAACAGACUAGGGAGAGAUUAGUUUGCCCAAGGUCAUAUAGCUAAUAAAAAAAAAGUUGGGGUUCUAACCCAGAUCUUCUGACUCUGGUACCCUUACAUACAUUUUUAUAGUGAUUCAAAUUGAUACAGGGAUUGUUCUGAAUAUUUAAACUUAAGUGAGUGAGUGGAGACUGUCGAUAUAAACUGAUUUAAAAUGUAUUAUUUGGAGAGACAGACCAAGCGCUCCGAGUUCUCUAGUAUGUUCCUCAAAUGCCAGCAAUGGUCAGCACUGGAUCAGGUUAAAGCCAGGAGCCAAGAAAUCAGUCCAGCUCUCCCAUGAGUGUGGCGAUUACUUGAUCCAUCAUCUGGUGCCUCUUAGGGUUUGCAUUGACAGGAAGCUGGAGUCAGGAGGUGGAGCCAGGUAUUGAGCCUAGAAUUCCAACGUGGGUUGCAGAUCUACUAACAUGUCUUAACUGCUAGGUUAAAUGCCUGUCUCCCUAAACUGAUUUUAUUCUUUUUUUUUUUUUUAAAGAUUUGAUUUAUUUAUUUGAGAGCUAGAGUUACAGUGAGAGGGAGAGACGGAGAGUGGUCUUCCUUCUGUUGGUUCACUCCCCAAAUGGCCGCAACGAUCCGAAGUCAGGAGCCAGGAGAUUCCUCUUGGUCUCCCAUGUGGGUGCAGGGUCCCAAGGACUUGGGCCAUCUUCCACUGUUUUCCCAGGCCAUAGCAGAGCACAGGAUUGGAAGAGGGGCAGCCAGGACUAGAACUGGCACCCAUAUGGGAUGCCAGUGCCACACACAGGCAGAGGAUUAACCUACUGCACCACAGCACCAGCGCCCUUGAUUUUAUUCUUACAAAGUAGUUUAGAAAGCAUCCUCGAAAGUGUGGAGAAAAUAUGAAAGGAAUUAUGCAAAAACCUAAGUAUGGUUAUGGGAGGCUUGUUUGCUGCUUUUUUCCCAUAUUUAAAAAUGUAAUGAGUAUAUAAAGGGUCUUCAAAAAGUUCAUAA
Lepus europaeus (European hare) is the source of this 2087-nucleotide long non-coding RNA. RefSeq lists it as uncharacterized. NCBI's taxonomy places the organism in Eukaryota, Metazoa, Chordata, Mammalia, Lagomorpha, Leporidae. The record is from RefSeq and is a predicted model, not a curated record. The transcript has 6 exons.